CGACGAUCAGGACACUGACAGGCCACCCAAUGACAUUAAUUUUUUGGACACAAAAUGUGAAAAACUAUUCUUAUAGUAUAUUGAUCCAUUCCAUAGGGAAUGCAAAUGUAAAGAGAAGAAACAUAGUGUGAUUGAUUGUCACACAACUUGUCUGCUAUACUUCAAACUUUUAGUUGGGUGGUAGGGUUCGGAAACAGGAAGCUUUCAGUGUCUUACAAAGUGCUAAAUGAAAUUAGAUAAUCAAGAACUUCCAGAUAGACAUCUAAACAAAGUUUAAGUUUGAACCAGAACAAAUUAUGAUGCACUGGAAGUGGAGCCUCUGUGUAAACCCUCGGCAUAAAAAAUGAAAAAAAUAAAUAAAGGAAAACUUCUCAUAAGUCAUAACACUUACCAUACAGAAUUAUGUAUUUUCGAAACACUUACCAUACAGUACUAUGAAUGGAAUAUCACCAAAUAUAGAGGGGACCAUGAUGAUGGGUACUCCAGACUUUCUUGCCUUGUCAAAAGAGGCCACUCAUGUACUACUAGUCCAUAAUCUUUGAAAAAAUUAUAUACUUUUGUUCUUUUCUACCAUCAUUUUUAUUCAUCUUUUGUCCUCAACAUAGCACCCCACACACAAUCAACAAUCAACAAUCAACAAUCAAGUCAUGUUACAUAACAUUAACAUCUGGUGAGGAAUCGGAACUAACCAUGUUAUGAGUUGGAUGGGAUUCACUGUACUUGGUAAAGAUCUUUUCGUCGGUGUGAUCAGUGCUCCAUAUAUUUGAUUGAUACAUAUCCAAAGAAUUACAUAAUCGAAAACACAUUCUAACUCUAUAGAUCUUAGUGGAGGUAUUACCGUAUCAGUAAAUCGGUCACAAGUUUCUUGACUGCAUUCCUGGCUUCAGUCCAGCAUGCAGUGCUUCAACAAGAAUCCAAGGGCAGCUGAAGCCAAAAAUCUUUAUCCUUAGAUUAGGAAAUGAUCAGAAUUAUAAG
RNAcentral lists this long non-coding RNA (975 nucleotides) under Daucus carota (carrot). RNAcentral's name for it is "long non-coding RNA (DCAR_LNC004644)". Lineage: Eukaryota; Viridiplantae; Streptophyta; Magnoliopsida; Apiales; Apiaceae. The record is from RNAcentral.